AAGUCGUAACAAGGUUUCCGUAGGUGAACCUGCGGAAGGAUCAUUACAAAUCUCUGUCUUGCCUGGAAGGGAGGCGUCUUUGGGCGCUGACUGACUGGCAGACACAUAUGCACAGGGCCGCAAGGCUCUGAUGUUUACGCUUGAUUGUUUGACAGAUUUAUUAUGUGACUAAACUUGACAACUUUUAACAAUGGAUCUCUUGGCUCUU
Molecule: unclassified non-coding RNA, 208 nt
Filed under: fungal sp.
Lineage: Eukaryota; Fungi
Description: partial internal transcribed spacer region
Rfam family: Eukaryotic small subunit ribosomal RNA (bases 1-46)
Source: RNAcentral